UACGUAGGGACCGAGCGUUGUCCGGAAUCAUUGGGCGUAAAGAGCGUGUAGGCGGCUUGUUAAGUCUUGCGUGAAAUCUCGGGGCUCAACCCCGAGCGGUCGUGAGAAACUGGCAGGCUAGAGUGCGGGAGAGGAGAGUGGAAUCCUGGUGUAGCGGUGAAAUGCGCAGAUAUCAGGAAGAACACCCGUGGCGAAGGCGGCGAUCUGGGUCGAUACUGACGCUGAGGAGCGAAAGCGUGGGGAGCGAACAGG
This 252-nucleotide ribosomal RNA is filed under the name uncultured bacterium. RNAcentral describes it as "partial 16S ribosomal RNA". It matches the Rfam family "Bacterial small subunit ribosomal RNA", at positions 524 to 776 of the family's 1533-position model. The record is from RNAcentral.